Diorhabda sublineata is the source of this 1692-nucleotide long non-coding RNA. RefSeq lists it as uncharacterized. The transcript has 3 exons. The record is from RefSeq and is a predicted model, not a curated record. Lineage: Eukaryota; Metazoa; Arthropoda; Insecta; Coleoptera; Chrysomelidae.
AUUCUGUAUUCAAUUUUCAGUACAUUUGUGGCAGGGUCUGUGCACUGGAAUAGAGAAUCUCAGGACGAUUUUCAACACCAUCUCUGUUACUGGCUCACAUCUAAAAGCUUACUUUUUGGUGUUUUAUUUUUGAAUGUUUGUCAAUCUGGAUUCUGAAACUAAGCUGCAAUUAUGUAUCGAGAAACAACAAAGAUUAUUGAAUGAACAACAUCCAUCUUGCAAACGUGUAUAAAAUAUUUGCAAAGGUGUUUGAUAUUGUUUAUUUAUUAGCUAUUUGCAUUUUUGUGCAUUUGAAAGUUUUUAUUUGUUGCGAAUUGUGCUGUCGUGUUUACUUAGUCAAUAUGAGUAAACGAGUAAAGGCCUGCUGUGUACCAGGAUGCGAUAAGACAUUUCAUUUCUAUGAAUGAAGACGUUUGCAGAAUUUGGUUGCAAAGAAUAAAUAACCCCAAGUUAAUGCAUGCAGAUGCAGUAUUAUCAUCACAUAGAAUAUGUGAUAUUUAUUUUGAACAAAUUUGUAGAAACCCCAAUGGCAGGUUAAAAAACCUUUCACUGCCAACUCUACAUUUACAUGGUUACAAAAAAGGUGAAAAUGAUAUAGAUACUUGGCUCAAUGCACUGCCAGUUUUAAAUUCAUUUCAUUUUAUAGACCCAUCAAAAAAGAGUGGUAGUUGUAUAACACCAUCAAUUAAGAAACUACCAUUCACCAGGAUUUGUGUACAUUUGGCAAAAGUUGAGGCAGGAAGGAUUCAAAUAUUUGAGUGGCAGAAACUUAAAUCAAGAUGCCAUUGAAAAUUUCUUUGUCAUGGUAAGAAGUCAUGGCAUUAGGAAUACGAAUCCUUCAUGUGCUGCAUUUGUUUCGUUCACAAAGUCUUUAAUUGUAAAUAAUUUCAUGUCUAAACAUUCGCCAGGAUUUAAUUGUGAGAUGACUUUUCAACGGGGACAUUGGAUACUUUUAAAAAUUUCCUCAGUGAAAGAAACACCUAUUGAACAAAUAACUCCAAUAGUCAAUGUCCCAAUUUAUAAACCAUUCAAUAGAAGCUCAAAAUAUACAGGAUUAGAUCUUGUCACUCCUUAUGUAGCAGGUUCAGUAGCAAAGAAAUUAUUUAAAGUCUUAAAUGCCACUUGUGUAAAAAUAUAAUAUUGUCAAAUGAAUUGAUUAAGGCAAAUUCAUUAAUAUAUUCUAGGGAACAUAAAAAAAUGUUUUAUGUGCGCCUUCAGCAAAAUUCUGUGAUAUUUUUAAGUUUUUCAUUUCAUUAGGCAAAAAAAAACAAAUAUUUCGUUUGGAGGAUUUGACAGACAUUUCCUCAAUAUUUUGUUCAGAUCAUAAGGAUUAGGUAAAUAUGUUUGUAAAUAUUAGUUUUAACAUAUGCAUCUUUCAUUACAUAAGUAUUAUUACUAAAAUUUUGAAGGGCAAAGAUCAAAAAUAUGAAGACUAUGAUGUUGUGAUGAAUAUGACAUAUGUUAAAUAUAGGGAAAGUUGCAAGAAAGACAAUGGUAAUCAUUAAUUAAACAUGGUUAUAAAAUCAGUUUUUUAUAUACCAUUGUAUCUACCAUGUACAAACAGAAACAUUUUUUAAAUACGCCAACAUCUCACUGUUUACAGUCCUAAGCCUGCUAAAGUGUGAAGGAAAAUUUUUUGUUUGUGGAUAUAGUUAUAAAAUGUCAAAAACAAAAUAAAAAUUAUAAUAAUCA